RNAcentral lists this ribosomal RNA (347 nucleotides) under Sticholotis sp. CO588. RNAcentral describes it as "partial 12S ribosomal RNA". The record is from RNAcentral. Lineage: Eukaryota; Metazoa; Arthropoda; Insecta; Coleoptera; Coccinellidae.
AAAAAUGUAAAUUAUAAAAUUAAGUAAUUAAUAGCUAUGUUCUUUAAAAUUAAAUAAUUUGGCGGUAUUUUAAUCUUUUCAGAGGAACCUGUCCUAUAAUUGAUAAUCCACGAUAAAAUUAACUUUAAUUAGAAAUUUUUAUAUCAUCGUUAUUAAAUAUUUUAUUAGAAUAUUAAUAUUUAAGAUUUUAAAUUUAAAAUUAAUUCAGAUCAAGGUGAAGUUUAUAUUAAAGAAGAGAUGGGUUACAAUAUUAUAAGAUUUGAAUUUAUAAUUGAAAAUUAUAUUGAAAUUGGAUUUGAAAGUAAUUAAUUUAUAUUUUUUAUUAAUGAUUUAGCUCUAAAAUGUGU